RNAcentral lists this ribosomal RNA (705 nucleotides) under uncultured bacterium. RNAcentral's name for it is "bacterial SSU rRNA". It matches the Rfam family "Bacterial small subunit ribosomal RNA", at positions 61 to 747 of the family's 1533-position model. The record is from RNAcentral.
GUCGUGCGAGAAGGAGACUUCGGUCUCUGAGUAGAGCGGCGCACGGGUGAGUAACGCGUGGAUGAUCUACCCUUGAGUUCGGGAUAACGGUGCGAAAGCGCCGCUAAUACCGUAUAACAAUCCAUUUCAUCGUGGGUUCAAAGCAGGCCUCUUCAUGAAAGCUUGCGCUUGGGGAUGAGUCCGCGUCCCAUUAGCUUGUUGGCGGGGUAACGGCCCACCAAGGCUACGAUGGGUAGCUGGUCUGAGAGGAUGAUCAGCCACACUGGAACUGAAACACGGUCCAGACUCCUACGGGAGGCAGCAGUGGGGAAUAUUGCGCAAUGGGGGAAACCCUGACGCAGCGACGUCGUGUGAGGGAAGAAGGCCUUCGGGUCGUAAACCUCUGUCAGAAGGGAAGAACAUCCGGGAGUCGAACAGCCUCCCGGCCUGACGGUACCUUCAGAGGAAGCGCCGGCUAACUCCGUGCCAGCAGCCGCGGUAAUACGGAGGGCGCAAGCGUUAAUCGGAAUCACUGGGCGUAAAGCGUGCGUAGGCUGUUUGAUAAGUCAGACGUGAAAUCCCUCGGCUCAACCGGGGAACUGCGUUUGAUACUGUUGAACUAGAGUCCUGGAGAGGGUGGCGGAAUUCCUGGUGUAGGAGUGAAAUCCGUAGAUAUCAGGAGGAACACCGGUGGCGAAGGCGGCCACCUGGACAGGUACUGACGCU